GGGGAUUGGGAGGCAGAUUGUGCCUUACAAACAGAAACGACCCAGUAGACUCCUGUUUAUGGCUACACAAAAGAAGGAAGCAAAGAAAGAAAAGAAACAAAGGAAGAAAGGAAGAGGAGAAGGAGAAAGGGAGGGCGAAAAAACAAAGUUUAAUCUCUCUACAAAUUAUUACCAUUUUAAUAAGUAUAAUUUCAAUAAUAAGUAAUAUAAAGAUUUGCAGACUGCCAUUCAGAAAUUCAUAAAAUACCACCUUUACUGAAUAGCAGCGUGUGUACUUCUACAAGGACA
RNAcentral lists this long non-coding RNA (288 nucleotides) under Pan troglodytes (chimpanzee). Its description in RNAcentral is "long non-coding RNA NONPTRT011783". Lineage: Eukaryota; Metazoa; Chordata; Mammalia; Primates; Hominidae. The record is from RNAcentral.